This is a long non-coding RNA of Oncorhynchus tshawytscha (Chinook salmon), 1905 nucleotides long. Lineage: Eukaryota; Metazoa; Chordata; Actinopteri; Salmoniformes; Salmonidae. The record is from Ensembl.
CUGGGAGGAAAAUGAUCUGCAGAGUCAUCAAUUGUUUUGGUUAAAAUCUCCUGAGAGAAUUAGAAAAGCCUCUUGAGUAUUUGUUGCGUAAAUCCUGUCGUUUUCUGGUUAGUUGGGAAGGGUUUUAGUUGGAGCAUGUGGGUUAUGUCCAUACACAUUACAGAUGAUGAAACUAGCAUUGUCAAGUUUAACAGUUGCUAUGACCCAUCUAACCAUUCUGUAAAGAUGUGGACUCUAGAACGUCUCCUUUACACUUGUGGAGAAGCGUCUAAACACCAGAGAGAGGCCAUGACAGAGAUAGGCCAUGUCAGAGAGAGGCCAUGACAAAGAGAGGCCAUGUCAGAGAGAGGACCUGUCAGAGAGAGGCCAUGACAGAGAGAGGCCAUGACAGAGAGAGGCCAUGUCAGAGAGAGGCCAUGACAGAGAGAGGCCAUGUCAGAGAGAGGCCAUGUCAGGAGAGCGGAGGCAGCCAGGAGAGCGGAGGCAGCCAGGAGAGCGGAGGCAGCCAGGAGAGCGGAGGCAGCCAAGAGAGCGGAGGCAGCCAGGAGAGCGGAGGCAGCCAGGAGAGUGGAGGCAGCAGGAGAAGGGAACCAGCGAUACGAGGGAACACGGCUGGCAAGGAAGCCCGAGAGGCAGACCCAAAAUAUUUUUGGGGGAUUUUUUUUGGUGGGGGGCACACGGGAGUGUCGCAGAGUCAGGAGUCAGACCUGAGCCAACUCCCCGUGCUUACCGUAAGGAGACGAGGAUGGAACCAGAGCCCGUCGGGGUGGAAUUGGGAGGUGAGCGAAGCAGAGACAGUGAAGGAGUUGAUGGGGAGAUUGGAGGAGAGCGACAGAAGCAAGGCAGAGACAGUGAAGGAGUUGAUGGGGAGAUUGGAGGAGAGAGACGGAAGCGAGGCAGAGACAGUGAAGGAGUUGAUGGGGAGAUUGAAGGUGAGCGAAGGGAGCGAAGCAGAGAUAGUGAAGGAGUUAAUGGGGAGAUUGGAGGAGAGAGUAAUGAGGGAGUUGCUGUGUUGGUGCAUGAGGCACGACAUCCGCCCGACGGAGCGUGUCUGGGAUUUGAUGUCACCUGAGUCAGCUCUCCAUACUCGUCCUGAGGUGCGUGCUAGCCGUCUGGUGAAGACUGUGCCAGCCCCACGCACCAGGCCUUCUGUGCGCCUCCCUAGCCCUGCACGUCUUGUGCCAGCUUGGCGCUACAGAUCUCCAGUAUGCGUUCUUAGCCCAGUGCGCUACAUUCCAGCUCCCCGCAUCUGGUGGGCUAGUGUGAGGAUCCAGCCAGGACGGAUGGUGCCAGCCCUGCUCUCCAGACCUCCAGUGCGUCUCAUCGGGCCAGGAUAUCCUGCGCCGGCUCUAAGCACGGUUUCCCCAGUUCGCCAGGAGAUCCCAGUGCGGCCUGUUCCAGCUCCCCGCACGUGCCGAGCUAGAGUGGGCAUUCAGCCUGGAAGAGUGGUGCCAAGGCUACGCACCAGCUCUCCAGUGCUCCCAUACAGCCCGGUCUAUCCUGUGCCUCCUCCACAGACCAGGCCUCCAGUAGGUCUCCACAACCCGGUCUGUCCUGUGCCUCCUCCACGCACCAGGCCUCCAGUAGGUCUCCCCAGCCUGGUGAGUCCUGUGCCUGUUCCCAGAACCAGGUCUCCUGUCCGGCGCUGCCAGAGUCGCCCUCCUGUCCGGCACUGCCAGGGUCGCCCUCCUGUCCGGCGCUGCUAGGGUCGCCCUCCUGUCCGGCGCUGCCAGAGUCGCCCUCUUGUCCGGCGCUGCCAGGGUCGCCCUCCUGUCCGGCGCUGCCAGGGUCGCCCUCCUGUCCGGGGUCGCCAUCCUGUCCGGGGUCGCCCUCCUGUCCGGGGUCGCCCUCCUGUCCAGGGUCACCCUCCUGUCCGGGGUCGCCCUCCUGUCCGGUGCUGCCAGG